GUCUCUUUCUUUCAUCGUCUUCUUUGUUCUUCGUUUCUCUUUCUUUUUGCUGGACGAUCUCCUUCCUCCUCUUUCGUUUUUCUCUCUGUAAGGUAAAAUUUGCUCUCCGUUCUUUAAUAGUUCUUUCCUGUGAUUGCCUGCUGUCCACCGCUUCUUAUUCUCUUCCUGUUAAAAAUCCCUAAAACCAUCCCACCGCCAUAGACUCUAUUCCCGAUUUUCCUCACCGACUCCAUCCAUCUCUCGAUUCUUCUUCUCUAUUUUCAAUUCCAUCCAGCCAACGAUAUAGUCACAGGUCGGCCACGAAUGGAUCGACAACUCCUUCCAUCAUCUUCACGAGCUCAAUCUACGCAAGUGGAAGUUACAUAUCGGCACUCCUGUUGUCUCCGCACUUCGCAUCGCCACCUCCAGUCAUCUCCACCGCAGGUAUGUUUUCUUUUCGGUUUUUGCUGAUAACAGAGAUGAAGCAACCGAUCAUAUCGUUUUCUAGACAACGCCGUCGAUUCUUUUUCACCCAUAGAAGACACAGACGAGUCCUUCUCUUCCACAACAGACAUUCAAUAAAACCCUCAUCCCCGCUGACCCUGCUUCUAUUCCGUUUUUCUUCCAUUUUGUUCGAUUUUAUCCAGGAUUGAGUGAAGAUGAUCAAACAACAGUUGGUAAACCUGGUAUAGUAAGUUAUGGCUAUGGACAACCGUUUCACUUCCGUCAAGCAAUUCUGUCCACUAGGUGGUCGAUGUAAGUCCAAAGUGUGAUUAAAAUCUAACAAUUAUUAUUAUAUUUCUUUCAUAUCUGAAACAUGUUGAUUUACAAACAAGUCAAAUGAAUGGCCACCGGUUUUCAGGGGAAGAUUCUAUUUCUAUUUCUAUUUCUUUUUCUUUCUCCACUGUAUCAAACCAACACUUCACUUUCUUUUGAACAAACGAUUUGAUUUUUGUGGUUCUCCUUUAUAGAACCUCUCAAGGUCCUUCUAUGGAAGUCGUCCCUCGUCACUGAGAUGAUAAGGGCAUAUUGGUCUAUCUACUUCAUGAAGUGCAUCCGUUUGUCAAUCCUACUCACCAAAAACAAAAUCAAAAUGUAUGAAGCCAUACAAGAGGAGACAUAAGAACAAAAGCUCACUCAUGUCUUCUUUUAUCCAUAUGUUAAAUGGUUUUUGCAAUGCUUCACUAUCAGUCAUUUACUUCCAAAUGCUUUUAAUGUACCAACAACAUUUUGCAGAUGUUCUAAUAUUAUCAACAUUUAUCUUCAAA
Molecule: non-coding RNA, 1247 nt
Organism: Lactuca sativa (garden lettuce)
Lineage: Eukaryota; Viridiplantae; Streptophyta; Magnoliopsida; Asterales; Asteraceae
Source: RefSeq, a predicted model, not a curated record